Molecule: long non-coding RNA, 463 nt
Filed under: Erythranthe guttata (spotted monkey flower)
Lineage: Eukaryota; Viridiplantae; Streptophyta; Magnoliopsida; Lamiales; Phrymaceae
Description: long non-coding RNA (EGUT_LNC000581)
Source: RNAcentral
UCGUGAGACAACAUCCACGAGGACGUAACUCGAUCAACUCGAUUACCCUAGAGACAACUUCCACGAGGACGUAACUCGAUCAACUCGAUUACCCCAAAGACAACUCCCACGAGGAGAUUACUUGAUCCGUGCUACUACAUUAUCGCGAGACAACUCCCACGAGGAGAUAACUCGAUCAACACUAUUACCCCGCGACAAGACAACUCCCACGAGGAGAUAAUUCGCUACUACAUCGUCGCGGGACAAAACCGACGACUCAAUUAACUUUCAUCGCGACAACCUUGUCGCGCUAUGCGCCAACGCGCAUUCACGCCCCUCCGACAUACGCUCCAACGCGUUUUCGCAUACCAUUAGGCCAUACGCCAAUGAUCGACUUCUACAAUUUUUACUCUCGACACGAUUUGAGACCCAUCACAACAUGGCCCCCACAUCGACUCGAGAGUGGGGGGCUUAAUGAUAUGCC